CCUACGGGCGGCUGCAGUGGGGAAUAUUGGACAAUGGGGGGAACCCUGAUCCAGCCAUGCCGCGUGUGUGAAGAAGGCCCUCGGGUUGUAAAGCACUUUCAGUGAGGAAGAACGCCUGGUGGUUAAUACCCAUCAGGAAAGACAUCACUCACAGAAGAAGCACCGGCUAACUCCGUGCCAGCAGCCGCGGUAAUACGGAGGGUGCGAGCGUUAAUCGGAAUUACUGGGCGUAAAGCGCGCGUAGGUGGCUUGAUAAGCCGGUUGUGAAAGCCCCGGGCUCAACCUGGGAACGGCAUCCGGAACUAUCAAGCUAGAGUGCAGGAGAGGAAGGUAGAAUUCCCGGUGUAGCGGUGAAAUGCGUAGAGAUCGGGAGGAAUACCAGUGGCGAAGGCGGCCUUCUGGACUGACACUGACACUGAGGUGCGAAAGCGUGGGUAGCAAACAGGAUUAGAUACCCUGGUAGUC
This 465-nucleotide ribosomal RNA is filed under the name Vreelandella stevensii. RNAcentral describes it as "partial 16S ribosomal RNA". It matches the Rfam family "Bacterial small subunit ribosomal RNA", at positions 338 to 795 of the family's 1533-position model. Lineage: Bacteria; Pseudomonadati; Pseudomonadota; Gammaproteobacteria; Oceanospirillales; Halomonadaceae. The record is from RNAcentral.